GACAGAGGGGGCAAGCGUUGCUCGGAAUCACUGGGCGUAAAGGGCGCGUAGGCGGGAUGGCAAGUCGGUCGUGAAAUCCUUCGGCUCAACCGAAGAACGUCGGCCGAUACUGCCGUUCUUGAGGGAUGCAGAGGAGAUUGGAAUUCCCGGUGUAGCGGUGAAAUGUGUAGAGAUCGGGAGGAACACCGGUGGCGAAGGCGGGUCUCUGGGCAUCUCUUGACGCUGAGGCGCGAAAGCGUGGGGAGCAAACGGG
Molecule: ribosomal RNA, 253 nt
Filed under: uncultured bacterium
Lineage: Bacteria
Description: partial 16S ribosomal RNA
Rfam family: Bacterial small subunit ribosomal RNA
Source: RNAcentral